UUCGUGCAACGUGUUGCGAACUUGAGACUGCUUUCGGAAGUGGAGACAAAAGUCGUGUUUUUUAAAAAGCAAAGACUGACCAGAAGGUGUGCCUCUGUGGCCCCUCUGAGCUGAGCCACGCCACGCCACCACCAACUUCGUUCAGUGUCUCAGCAGAGAAAGCUGUCGAGGUUGCAUUCAGGAAACACCCUUCACAGGCUUCAGUUGCCAAAGCCUGUUAUGCUUCACACCCUUGUUUCUGCACAUGGAUGUUUUUAUUCUGCUGGGUUUUAUUUACUUAUUUAUUUGAAGUAGCAAAAGCUGAAAAUAACAAACAUUUGAUUUGGCUAGAGAGGGUGUUGUAACACAAAAGCUAGAAGGGAAGAAAAACUGUCCUUUGCUAAAGCACAGUGCAGUAACAGCUGUGCUGUAGUAACCACCCUUCAGGUCCUCCUGACGGAGCAGAGGGGAUGAGUCUUCAGCACGGUCCUAAUCCCAACAUGGCUGUAAGCGUUGACUGGAGAGAAAGAACUAAUGUCUGAAAGGUUAUUUUCAGUGCAUGGUUGCUCUGAGACUGUUACAGAAAACAGCCAUUGAUAAUAACUUCUCGUACAGAUGGUUGUGUCCCCUUACCUGUCCAACUGGAUGUGCAGAAAGUCAGAAGUCUGGACAAUUCCAGAAGAACAGAGACAACAGUGGAAAGGGACUUGCAGCAUGACAGAAAGGCACACCAGAGUGCUGCUGCUGCUUUUGCAACACCAGAAACUAGUGAUCGCGCCCAGGAAAUAGUGAACACUGCAUCACACCUGCUAGGUGAAGUUUCCUGGAACUGUGCUAAGCGCUUCCAAGUGGUUCUGGCAUCUCAUGCAAGGCAAACUGACACGUGGCUGACAGGAGCGAUUGAAUGUUGCUUUGCAUGAAAUGAAAUGUCAAUACUAUUAUUUUUUUGGAGCAGCAGCCAAAAUGCUUGUGAUUUUCGAGGGCUUUCAUCAAAGUUAAUAUCUUUCUAUCGAUGGUAGUGGUGUGGAAAGGAAUUUCAGUUGCUUACUUUUCAGUCUUAAUUACAU
This is a long non-coding RNA of Cygnus olor (mute swan), 1046 nucleotides long. RefSeq lists it as uncharacterized. Lineage: Eukaryota; Metazoa; Chordata; Aves; Anseriformes; Anatidae. The record is from RefSeq and is a predicted model, not a curated record. The transcript has 3 exons.